AAACCAACAGGGAUUGCCUCAGUAACGGCGAGUGAAGCGGCAAAAAGCUCAAAUUUGAAAUCCCCCCGGGGAAUUGUAAUUUGAAGAUUGUGUUUUGGAAACGACCGUGUCUAUGUUCCUUGGAACAGGACGUCACAGAGGGUGAGAAUCCCGUGCGGCACGGCCACCGUUUCCUUAUAAAACACUCUCGACGAGUCGAGUUGUUUGGGAAUGCAGCUCAAAGUGGGUGGUAAAUUCCAUCUAAAGCUAAAUACAGGCGAGAGACCGAUAGCGAACAAGUACAGUGAUGGAAAGAUGAAAAGCACUUUGAAAAGAGAGUGAAACAGUACGUGAAAUUGUUGAAAGGGAAGGGCAUGCCGUCAGAUUGUCAGUGUGGGUAAGAAGCGGGGUACAAAGACUGUGGAACGUGGCCCUCGGGUGUUAUAGCCACAGUUCAUCCCCCGUCUCUUUCCGAGGCCUGCUUUGAGGACACCGACGUAAUGACGGUACGCCGCCCGUCUUGAAACACGGA
RNAcentral lists this ribosomal RNA (511 nucleotides) under uncultured Candida. RNAcentral describes it as "eukaryotic LSU rRNA". It matches the Rfam family "Eukaryotic large subunit ribosomal RNA", at positions 62 to 665 of the family's 3401-position model. Lineage: Eukaryota; Fungi; Ascomycota; Saccharomycetes; Saccharomycetales. The record is from RNAcentral.